UCCUGAGUCCUGAUCAACUGAGGGCUUCAAGGGGUGCGCAGGGCCCUGUAUUAAAAUGCCGCAUUAUGUUGUCAUUAGACGUUUCUUUUAUCCAUAUGUGCGGUGGAAUACGGUGGCCUGUUUGGGAAAGGGGCAUAGCGGGAGCAGGCGUUAUCAACUACCACAUCCCCUGGGGAUGCCCUGUUGGUUUUUAAGCUCCACAGAAGCUUCCAGGGUGAAAUCUGAAACUGGCCUCUGUACUCAGAGGGUGGGGAGAGACUGAAGAAGCCACUCCAUGUUGGCAGGUGGCAGUUUUCAUAAGCAGGAGAACUUACACAGGAGUUUCAUCUUGGGCAGCAUCAGGACAAGUGAAUCUCUGCACCCGCCAACCACAUCUUACAAGUUUAUACAGAGGUCUUAACCAGGUUCAGUCACCUGUACCAUCAAGGUGGCCUCAACACCAUCUCAGUAUCCCAAAACGAUCUCCUUGGAUCAUCCUCUGGGAGUGGGAAAGGCAAGCAGAACCCACAUUCCAAGGACAUGAGAGGGGAUGCGAAGCCUCCGAUUUCCCAGGUCCAGCUCACAGCACUUCCGGCAGCCGAAGGCGCAGCAUUUGUACAUGAUGAAGACAACGCCCAGUACAAUGGCCAGGAGGAAGCCGAUCACGUCCACAGAGUGGUACUGGUACCAGGUUCCAGAUAGUUGUCUGUAUCACGGAACAAAAGAUUAAAAUUGCAUUAUGAAUGUGAACCUCAGGAACGAGUUUUGUCAGCACGUGGAGAGAAGUCGGGGCUCCGUGGCGCCGAUGUGUGAGCAGCACAUCCCGACCCCAACAAGCUGGGUGGCCGGAAGGCGCCAUUCAGAAGAGAGGGAUGGCACCCACCGGGCACUCUGGGCAUUUACCCCUGGGUUAUGUGGGCUUUUCUUCUCCAUCCAUUGGCACCACACAUGGGGGCACCCCACCUCUCCCCCAUUUGUCCUUGCCCAGCCUCACUGUGUCACCCUGUGCAAUGUCUCCUCCCAUCUGAACACACUCCAGUUUUUCACAUCUGUCCUUCUAACUGAUGUCUUUUUCAAGAUGAAGCAACUAUGGGUGAAGACUCCACUCUCAUGGAGACACACACAUGCACACGUACUCAUACAUGCACAUGCACACACGCACUGUUAAUUGUUGGACGAAGUCCACCCUGGCUGUCACUUCUUCCCACGAGGUUUUGACCAAGCUGUUACUAGUGAACUUGACAUCAAUACAAUAAAUUCCACGCAGAGACCAUUUGAUCUGAUGGCUUUUGCCUCUUGAAUUCUUUCAGAGCCGUAUUUGAAUAAACUCACCUUUGCUUUAUCACAAGCCUUUGGGAUAUCACAUGACACCCCCCCCCCCCAUUUAUAAAUCCCCAUGAACAAAAUUUCUCACGGGUUUCAGUGCUAGGGAGAACUAUGGUUCUAAGCUCUUUGUUUUUAUCUUAUGGACACUAGGUUCAUUACGGAAUAUUUCUCUCUUUGUAGAAUCUCAUAGAGUAGACAUCUACUUGGUGACAAUAUUUUUUAACAAAUUGAAGUUUUAAGCCUACCAAGGGAAAUAAUAUUUAAAAUCAGUUUUGGGGCGGCUGGAUGGCUCAGUUAAAUGUCUGAUUCUUGAUCUUGAUCUCAGCUCAGAUCAUGAGCUCUAAGUUUGUGAGAUCAAGCCCCACAUCACGCUGUGCACUGACAGCCUGCUUGGGAUUCUCUCUCUCUACCCCUCCCCCACUCGUGCUCUCCCUCCCUUCCUCUCUCUCUCUCUCUCUCUCUCUGUCUCAAAAUAAAUAAAUAAACUUUAAAAAUUAAAAAAAAAAA
Molecule: long non-coding RNA, 1812 nt
Organism: Panthera uncia (snow leopard)
Lineage: Eukaryota; Metazoa; Chordata; Mammalia; Carnivora; Felidae
Exons: 3
Source: RefSeq, a predicted model, not a curated record